This 274-nucleotide ribosomal RNA is filed under the name uncultured bacterium. RNAcentral describes it as "partial 16S ribosomal RNA". It matches the Rfam family "Bacterial small subunit ribosomal RNA", at positions 523 to 796 of the family's 1533-position model. The record is from RNAcentral.
AUACGGGGGGAGCGAGCGUUGUUCGGAUUUAUUGGGCGUAAAGGGCGUACAGGCGGUAAUGUAAGUCAGAUGUGAAAUGCUUCGGCUCAACCGAGGACCUGCAUUUGAUACUGCAUUACUUGAGUACAGGAGAGGAGAGCGGAAUUCUAGGUGUAGCGGUGGAAUGUGUAGAUAUCUGGAAGAACACCAGUGGCGAAGGCGGCUCUCUGGCCUGAUACUGACGCUGACGCGCGAAAGCUAGGGGAGCAAACAGGAUUAGAAACCCCGGUAGUCC